RNAcentral lists this ribosomal RNA (253 nucleotides) under uncultured bacterium. Its description in RNAcentral is "partial 16S ribosomal RNA". It matches the Rfam family "Bacterial small subunit ribosomal RNA", at positions 524 to 776 of the family's 1533-position model. The record is from RNAcentral.
UACGUAGGGUGCAAGCGUUAAUCGGAAUUACUGGGCGUAAAGCGUGCGCAGGCGGUUUUGUAAGUCUGACGUGAAAUCCCCGGGCUCAACCUGGGAAUUGCGUUGGAGACUGCAAGGCUAGAAUCUGGCAGAGGGGGGUAGAAUUCCACGUGUAGCAGUGAAAUGCGUAGAGAUGUGGAGGAACACCGAUGGCGAAGGCGGCCCCCUGGGUCAAGAUUGACGCUCAUGCACGAAAGCGUGGGGAGCAAACAGG